Long non-coding RNA from Pongo pygmaeus (Bornean orangutan), 1034 nucleotides. RefSeq lists it as uncharacterized. The transcript is spliced from 3 exons. The record is from RefSeq and is a predicted model, not a curated record. Lineage: Eukaryota; Metazoa; Chordata; Mammalia; Primates; Hominidae.
AUGGCGGGCGCCCCUCCCCCAGCCUCGCUGCCGACUUGCUGUUUGAUCUCAGACUGCUGUGCUAGCAAUCAGCGAGACUCCGUGAGCAUAGGACCCUCUGAGCCAGGUGCGGGCUAUACUCUCCUGGGGCACCGUUUCCUAAGCCCAUCUGAAAAGCACAGUAUUCGGGUGGGAAUGGCCCGAUUUUCCAGGUGCCGUCUGUCACCCCUGGAAAGGGAACUCCCUGACCCCUUGUGCUUCCCGAGUGAGGCAAUGCCUCGCCCCAGCUUCGGCUGGCGCACGGUGCACUCACCCACUGACCUGCGCCCACUGUCUGGCACUCCCUAGUGAUAUGAACACGGUACCUCAGAUGGAAAUGCAGAAAUCACCUGUCUUCUGCGUCGCUCGUGCUGGGAGCUGUAGACUGGAGCUGUUCCUAUUCGGCCAUCUUGGCUCCUCCGUCAGCCAUUCUUAAAGGAUCACAGAAAACAGCAGUGUUCGGCAAUUAUGGUGCCUGCUACCCCCUUUGCCAGGAUUGUAAGUUUCCUGAGGCCUUCCCAGCCAUGCGGAACUGUGAGUCAAGUAAACCUCUUUCCUUUAUAAAGUACCCAGAUUCAGAACAUACAUAUGACGGUUGAGAAAGACACAUAUUCUGAUCAUGAAGAAAUAAACAGAAGUUAAAUAUGACUAAGCAGAAAGACAGAAGGACCAGGAAGAGUGAUGCUAACUUGGAGCCACUAUGCAGGCUCUAAACUCCUCUACAAUCAUCCUCCCUUGUGAGAAAAAUACAUAAGUCACUUUUAAAAUAAAUAGAAACCUGAACACACUUCUUAGCUGGUUUAAGUAUUUUAAAAACAUUGAUGAAUUAAACACAAAAAUACGGGGAAAUCUCAUUACUUACCUUAAAUUUUGAAAUUUUCUUUACAGAUCAUGAGUUACUUAAUGCUCUUUCACUCCUGAGUUUACAUUGUAAAUUAAUGUUAUGUCGGCUUUAAAAAAUAACCAAUUUAAAAUAAUGAUCUAAAUUUAUACUUCAAUUUUAACUAAUAGUAUGA